Picea glauca (white spruce) is the source of this 123-nucleotide non-coding RNA. Lineage: Eukaryota; Viridiplantae; Streptophyta; Pinopsida; Pinales; Pinaceae. The record is from Rfam.
AUGUACAUGCCUAUUGCUUAGUAUUAAUGCAUCGGAUCCCAUUAGAACUUCACAAUUAAAUGCAUUCAAGUUAGAGUAGUACUAGGAUGGGUGACCGCCUGGGAAGUCCUACUAUUUUACAUG